UUCCAAACCACAAGUGAAGCGCGGUGUGCAGCUGAGCUAGCUACGGUCUUUCUUUUUUGGGCAGUGAUCUGCGCCGGUGCGCCGGCCCAACAGUUGGGCCGGUCGAGCCCAGGCCGUCCGAUGCACUGCCUCCCAACCGUCAGAUUGAUCCCCUUCCGCAUCGUCGUCUACCUUCCGCGUCAGAUCGAGCAACGCAAGCGCCACGGGCCAUCCCGCACCCAGCCAUGGCGCGUCUACCUCGUCGUCAUCCCCGUCGCCGUUCGCCCUCGCCGCUCGCCCUCGCCGUCGCCGUCGCCGUCGCCGUUCGCCGGUUGGAGCACAGGUGCCCCAUGGCCCCACCCCUCUUAUGCAGCAAAAAAAUGGGCCCAGCAAACAAAAAAUCGACCCCUGCCGGUCCCUGGAGUUCGUCGCCGUUGCAGCUCCGCCGGGAAGCCACCGCAGUAGUCAGUUGCAUCAAUGGUGAGUUGCCGAUUCGAGCUUUUUGUCACGGUCUCGUAGAAGCUUUUCAGAAAUACGGUUGAAGCUUUUCAGAAUUACGGUUGAAACUUUUCAUGUCAACAAUUGCAACUUUUUUCGUUGUGUACUCGUGGGGGUGAAGCUUUUCUAUACAGUUGGUUGAAUCUUUGUAUAAAGCGGGUUGAAGCUUUUUUCAUCAAGGGUUUGUAGCAUUUUAUGUCGAUGGUUGUAGCAUUCCGCCAUGGCAAUGACUUCUUGAAAAGCUUUUCAUGCAUAUCUGGUUGAAGCUUUUUUAACCUUUUGUUGAAGCUUUUCGUACUAUGGUUGAAGCUUUUCGUAUGAACGGUUGUAGCUUUUUUCAGUGCAUGGUGUCCGGUUGAAGCUUGAUAUACCGCUAGUUGAAGCUCUCGAAUUGAACGAUUGUAGCUUUUUUGGUGGUCGGUUGCAACAUCGGUGGAGGAGAAAAAAAAUGCUUCCAAAGUUCGUCUUGAAGCAGAUGGUUGCAGCGGUAGGGGAGGAGGUCGCGCACUCGCGCUGCCGUGGUUGAAGCAUCUCCGGUGGACGGUUCCAGCACAGGGGAGUACGAACAGCAGCUCGCGGAUGGUAUAUUCCAUGGCGGCUUCCAGCUCCGGCUCG
RNAcentral lists this ribosomal RNA (1092 nucleotides) under Triticum aestivum (bread wheat). Its description in RNAcentral is "partial small subunit ribosomal RNA". The record is from RNAcentral. Lineage: Eukaryota; Viridiplantae; Streptophyta; Magnoliopsida; Poales; Poaceae.